This 492-nucleotide ribosomal RNA is filed under the name uncultured bacterium. RNAcentral describes it as "bacterial SSU rRNA". It matches the Rfam family "Bacterial small subunit ribosomal RNA", at positions 29 to 512 of the family's 1533-position model. The record is from RNAcentral.
AGUGAACGCUGGCGGCAGGCCUAAUACAUGCAAGUCGAACGGCAGCACAGCAGAGCUUGCUCUGUGGGUGGCGAGUGGCGGACGGGUGAGGAAUACAUGGGAAUCUGCCCAGUCGUGGGGGAUAACGUAUGGAAACGUACGCUAAUACCGCAUGCGCCCUACGGGGGAAAGCCGGGGACCGCAAGGCCUGGCGCGAUUGGAUGAGCCCAUGUUCGAUUAGCUAGUUGGCGGGGUAAAGGCCCACCAAGGCGACGAUCGAUAGCUGGUCUGAGAGGAUGAUCAGCCACACUGGAACUGAGACACGGUCCAGACUCCUACGGGAGGCAGCAGUAGGGAAUAUUGGACAAUGGGGGCAACCCUGAUCCAGCCAUGCCGCGUGAGUGAAGAAGGCCUCGGGUUGUAAAGCUCUUUGUCCGGAAAGAAAGCAAUCGGUUAAUACCCGGUUGUUCUGACGGUACCGGAAGAAUAAGCACCGGCUAACUUCGUGCCAGC